Molecule: long non-coding RNA, 600 nt
Organism: Grus americana (Whooping crane)
Lineage: Eukaryota; Metazoa; Chordata; Aves; Gruiformes; Gruidae
Exons: 5
Source: RefSeq, a predicted model, not a curated record
GAAGAAGAAGAAGAAGAAGAGAUGGAAGGCUCUCCGGCCAGCAGCUGCCUCCCGCUGCAGGCAAGAGAGCGCCUGCCUCGCCGGGCGGAGGACAGCCGAGCGACCGGAGUGACAGCAAAGGAAAGGCGGAGAGCAGGGGAAAGAAGCGUCUGCGCUGGCAAGCUCUCCCGGCAGCGCCGAGAGCCAGAGCUGCGGUGCCGCUGCGCCGAUGCUCCGUACGUUCGCAGUAACGGGUAGAGCGGAAGGCUCUGUGGCCAGGGAAGAGCGGCACGGACACGUUCCUGCUCGCUCCGUUGCACCGGAAUUUCGACGGCUGGGUUCGGCCGCUAAAUUGAUGGCGCUACCGGAAGAAAUUUCAGAAAAAAAGGGUGGCUUUUUCGUCGAUCUCUUUGUGAGAGUAUCAAAUCAGGCGGCGGUAAAUACGUAGAAGCAACUAGGCGUACUACGGCGUGUACCGGACAGCGUUGGCGUGCCGCUCUGCUAGCAGCGGAGAGCCAGAUGAGGAUGCCCGUGAUAUGAGAAAAGCUCUGUCCAGAGAUAUGGAGACGAAAUCAGUUGUACCUCACCCUGUGACACCGGAAGACAUUGAGUAACUGUAAG